Molecule: ribosomal RNA, 253 nt
Filed under: uncultured bacterium
Lineage: Bacteria
Description: partial 16S ribosomal RNA
Rfam family: Bacterial small subunit ribosomal RNA
Source: RNAcentral
UACGUAGGUGGCAAGCGUUGUCCGGAUUUACUGGGCGUAAAGAGCGCGCAGGCGGUCGAUUUAGUCGCGUGUGAAAGCCCCCGGCUCAACUGGGGAGGGUCACGCGAUACUGAUCGACUCGAAGGCAGGAGAGGGUAGUGGAAUUCCCGGUGUAGUGGUGAAAUUCGUAGAUAUUAGGAAGAACACCGGUGGCGAAGGCGGCCCACUGGAUCGGUACUGACGCUGAGGUGCGAAAGCGUGGGGAGCAAACAGG